GAUUUAAACACUGAUUUCUAGGUUGAUUUGGGCGGUCCAAAUGUAAUCCAACAGGCAAAAAUUAAGAUAUGGGUAUAAUACGAUUUCUAAAGAUUUUAGGACUCCUUUUACUAUUAGAAAAAGAUAAAAAAAUUUACCUAUAAAUCGAAGGUCCAGAAAUAAGAGAAAAAAAUAAAAAAAUUAGUAAAAAAAUAAAAAAAUUAGAGAGAUUUAAGAAUCCAAAGAAGAAGAAGAA
RNAcentral lists this long non-coding RNA (235 nucleotides) under Elaeis guineensis (African oil palm). RNAcentral's name for it is "long non-coding RNA (EGUI_LNC073797)". The record is from RNAcentral. Lineage: Eukaryota; Viridiplantae; Streptophyta; Magnoliopsida; Arecales; Arecaceae.